Molecule: unclassified non-coding RNA, 235 nt
Filed under: uncultured fungus
Lineage: Eukaryota; Fungi
Description: sequence contains ITS1, 5.8S rRNA gene
Rfam family: 5.8S ribosomal RNA (bases 187-235)
Source: RNAcentral
UUUCCGUAGGUGAACCUGCGGAAGGAUCAUUACAGUAGGGGCCCCUCGGGGUCCCUGCCGAGAUAGCACCCCUUGUCUUUUUCGAGCACCGAACGUUUCCUCGGCGGGCCCGCCCGCCAACGGGGACCAAAGCAAACCCUUUAAACCGCAGUAUCAGAAGUAAAACCGUACGCAAUCAAAAAUCAAAACUUUCAACAACGGAUCUCUUGGUUCUGGCAUCGAUGAAGAACGCAGC